This 442-nucleotide ribosomal RNA is filed under the name Fallicambarus strawni. RNAcentral describes it as "partial 16S ribosomal RNA". It matches the Rfam family "Bacterial large subunit ribosomal RNA", at positions 1967 to 2625 of the family's 2925-position model. Lineage: Eukaryota; Metazoa; Arthropoda; Malacostraca; Decapoda; Cambaridae. The record is from RNAcentral.
AUUAGUUUUUUAAUUGAAGGCUAGAAUGAAUGGUCGGACAAGAAAUAAUCUGUCUUAGGUGAAUAUAUUGAAUUUAACUUUUGAGUGAAAAGGCUUAAAUGAUCUGAAGGGACGAUAAGACCCUAUAAAACUUUAUAUUUAUAAAUGGUAGUUAAUUUUGUUUUAAAAUGUUAUUAAAAAAUAUUUUGUUGGGGUGACAAGGAUAAAAUAGAAAAUAACUGUCCUUUUUUAUUACAGUAAUGUUUGGUUUAAUGAUCCUAAAAAGGAUUAUAAGAUUAAGUUACUUUAGGGAUAACAGCGUAAUUUUCUUUGAGAGUUCUUAUCGACGGGAAAGUUUGCGACCUCGAUGUUGAAUUAAAAAUUCUUUAUAGAGUAGAGACUAUAGAAGAAGGUCUGUUCGACCUUUAAAUUUUUACAUGAUUUGAGUUCAGACCGGUGUGAG